CUUGAGAGUACUGGUUGGAGUCCCAUCUGUUCCACUCCCUGAUAAUGUGUCUGGAAAAGCAGCAGAAGGUGGUCCUAGUGCUUGGGGUCCUGUACCCUUUUAGAAGACCUGAACUGAUUCUUGACUCCUGACUUUAGCUUGGCCCAGCCUGGCCCACUGCAGCCAUUUGGCAAGGGGCUGCCCACCUCCUCCAGCCUGGCCUUCCCCGCACACUGUCCUGGCUUUCACCCCACAGCUACCACAUCCUCAGUCGACACUUAAUCGCUUCCGCUCCUCACACCCGGCCUGCUCUCCUUCACCCUGCCACUUGGUCACCGCCCUGGAAUGCAUGUGGAGAGGAAUCCAGAGGCAGGAAGAAGUCAGCUCAGAUUCAGAGGUCAUAUGCUGUGUACCUGGCACCAUGCUGAACUCCAACUUUUUGUGGGGGGAUAGAGUCCUUCAUUCUGUAUAUUUUUAAUUUAGUGAAAUAACACAAAAUGGAUCAUUUGGACCAAUGUAUUUACAUUAUUGUGAGAC
Long non-coding RNA from Ochotona princeps (American pika), 516 nucleotides. RefSeq lists it as uncharacterized. Lineage: Eukaryota; Metazoa; Chordata; Mammalia; Lagomorpha; Ochotonidae. The transcript is spliced from 3 exons. The record is from RefSeq and is a predicted model, not a curated record.